UAACAGUUAGAAAUGACUGCUAAUACCGCAUAAGACCACAGAGCCGCAUGGCUCGGUGGGAAAAACUCCGGUGGUAUGAGAUGGACCCGCGUCUGAUUAGGUAGUUGGUGGGGUAACGGCCUACCAAGCCAACGAUCAGUAGCCGACCUGAGAGGGUGACCGGCCACAUUGGGACUGAGACACGGCCCAAACUCCUACGGGAGGCAGCAGUGGGGAAUAUUGCACAAUGGGGGAAACCCUGAUGCAGCGACGCCGCGUGAGCGAAGAAGUAUUUCGGUAUGUAAAGCUCUAUCAGCAGGGAAGAAAAUGACGGUACCUGACUAAGAAGCACCGGCUAAAUACGUGCCAGCAGCCGCGGUAAUACGUAUGGUGCAAGCGUUAUCCGGAUUUACUGGGUGUAAAGGGAGCGUAGACGGCUGUGUAAGUCUGAAGUGAAAGCCCGGGGCUCAACCCCGGGACUGCUUUGGAAACUAUGCAGCUAGAGUGUCGGAGAGGUAAGUGGAAUUCCCAGUGUAGCGGUGAAAUGCGUAGAUAUUGGGAGGAACACCAGUGGCGAAGGCGGCUUACUGGACGAUGACUGACGUUGAGGCUCGAAAGCGUGGGGAGCAAACAGGAUUAGAUACCCUGGUAGUCCACGCCGU
RNAcentral lists this ribosomal RNA (641 nucleotides) under uncultured bacterium. RNAcentral's name for it is "bacterial SSU rRNA". It matches the Rfam family "Bacterial small subunit ribosomal RNA", at positions 144 to 803 of the family's 1533-position model. The record is from RNAcentral.